Molecule: long non-coding RNA, 1884 nt
Filed under: Paramuricea clavata
Lineage: Eukaryota; Metazoa; Cnidaria; Anthozoa; Malacalcyonacea; Plexauridae
Source: RNAcentral
AAAGAUUUGGUUUUUACAGAUAAAUAUUUAUAGUUCUCGUUGUUUUAAAUCUUUUGUAUAAAUUUUGAGAUAUAUUUACUACCUUUGACCAUUUGGUUAAAGGUAUACAAGUCGUACGUGUUAUUCUCGCCCGCGAAAGCCAAACAAAACCUCGAGAAAUGUGGGAAAAGAGUAUAAUUUAAAGACGAUACUUGAGUCGGGUAAAAGGUAGGAGAUGUCUAGUCAAUUUUACUCAUUCUUUAUCUUAUUUGACAUGAAAUUGGUAAGCCUAACGAUGAAAUACACUUCAUUUGUUAAGAAAACAAGCUUUCAGCUUUCUACAGUCCAAAUUUCAUAUUGUAAGGUGUAAAAUUUCCCAUUAUUUUAACAAGCUGUAUUCACAAAUAUUUAGUUCUAUGUAAACAACACAGAUUUGAUAUUCACAAAUUUGUACGAUGGUAUACGUCUAAACUCACUAAAGUGCAAACUAUCUUGUGUAAUAAUGUUAAAAAGGUUGACUGCAGAGACCUGAGGUCUCGUUUUAUUACUUUUAUAAACAUACACUUGAUGAAACUAUGUGUUUGUAGGUUUGAGUUUAAUAUGCACCAACUUUUGUAUAAGUUACUGGGGGUACUGGAAGCUAGCUUAUCCAGGAAGGUAGACUAAGUAGUUUCUGUCUACCUAUAAAAUACUGAUUGGGGACACUUUUUGUGUCAUUAUACACCUGAUUAUAAACUCCUUAAGCUUUAAGCACCAGUGCUCUUCCCUUGACAAGUGAAAUUGUUUGUUUAUCAAUUUAUAUAAAAUAGGGUGCACUAGUCUAAGGUACAAUGCAACUUUUAAAACAGUUUAAUGAAAGCAUUCCUAAGCAGCAUUGUAUGUAGACCUUUAAGAUAGGAAUAAACCUGCAGCUAUCAGUGAUUCUGAUGCAGUGUUCAAACCAAUUUAUACUGAUCAGCUACUGUGUCGAGCUGUAAUUGCAAAUUAAUUCAUGUAAAUAUCAUAAGGUGAAGCCUGUAGUAAGGGUAAAUGUCAGGAUUUUGGACAUCACACUCAACAGAUUGUUAAAUAUCAAAGGUAGCGUCACUAGACAAAUAUUUUAAGUGUCAAUUUUAUGCAUAUUUAGACCUAACCAACCUAAAAAAUAUAGUUGCAUCUUUUGGAGCUGCUUUAACCAGGUCUAAAAAUGUACAAAAUUUACACUCAAAGUUUUCAUCGAUCUACAAAAAUCCUUCAACAUUUAGUGAUGUACAUCAGCAUUGCCAUGUAAAACCCUUUUCUCACCAAACAUGCUCUUACUGCAUGUAAUAGUUGGUGCAUGGUCAACAUAGGAAUAUUUGCACAAGAAUAGACAUUACCUCUCAAUUCUAUAUUUUUCUCAUACAGAAUACAUGGGUCUACUUCAUUAAAUUAAAUUAAUAUGUAGUUUUUAGAUAAUAAUUAAACUGCUUUAUAUUUUUUUAGACCAAGAAGUGUUCUCUUAAAUUAAGGGAGAGGUAUUGUCAGUGGCAAAUUUGAGGAAUCUGAUGCAUUGGUGGAAUAUUGCAUGUGCAUGGUCAUGAAAUUAUACUUCAAUGCUGCAAUCCUCAAGGUCUGAAAAUUGGAGGUUUUGUACCAACCUCUGCUAGGGCUUAAAUCAAGAUGUGCUUAAAUUAAGUAACACUACUAGUUUUGUAAAGAAAAUGAAACACUCUUGAUGACAUAUACUAGAUUUGUUGAAAUAGUUGAACUGAGGCAAUGAUAGCAAUUCAGGCAUUUUUGGGGAACAUUUUUAAAAAUGUACUUGUUUUUAAAGAGUAAAUUAUUUUAUAUUUGACCCAUAAUUUUCUCAGAACCAAUCCAAUAUUUAUCUUAUAUUUUCAGAGGUCAAGUAUUACUAACAGUGAUUUGAGCUCUAGGUGUGGA